CGGCCCUUCAUAUCCCUUAGGACAAAACCCGCAAUCCUUACCAGGUCCUUCACGCACCUGCCACUCCCUGCCACCUCCUCUCACCCCACUCCCCUUCCCCCUGGAGGCUGCCAGCACCCCCCCCCCCAACUCCUGCCACAGGGCCUUGACACAAGCUCUUCGCUCUUCCUGGAGUAGUCUUUCCCUCUUACUUAACGAAUAAACUCUUCUUUCUGACUUCCCAGGGCUCAGCUGGAUCGUACUUUCAAGAACUUGGAAAGUGACUUCAUCUUUCUAAGCUAUGUUUUCUGCUCUGUACGGUGAGGUCAAUACCUGUCUGUUCUUCCUAGGAUUUUUUGAAGGGAAGUGAGGAAUAAAUGAUACCAUUCAUGAAAGCACUUAGCAUCCUAUUUGGUACAUAGUAGGUGGGCAUGUUCUGAGCACUGGCAGCCAUUAUUGAGCUGGUCAGCUGCCUCCACCCUAAGUCCUUUCCUUCAGAUGCUCUCACUCCUGUUGCUGCAGAUGUCGUGGGCUGGGGGGAGGGGGUGCGGAGACCAAGAAAGGGAGGGGGAAAAUGGGGGAGAUGGCGAUCUAACCCUUACAGUGCCCUCCACCUACCACCAGAAGACCCUCCCCAGAGGGUCUGUGUGACUAUUUCCCCAGAAUUCUUAUGUGGAAAUCCCACCUCCCAAAGAUGCUGGUAUUAGAAGGUGGGACCUUGGGGGGGGUGGCGCUGAAUUCGUGAGGGCGGAGCUCUCCUCAGUGGGACUCUUGCCUUAUAAAACGGGCUCCAGAGAGCUCCUCCAGUGUGUGAGGACAGAGAAAAGGCUCUGGCCCUGGAGCAGGAAGAGGGCCCUCGCUCACGGGACCUCUCUGGCACUCCGUUUUGGAACUUCCAGAAUCCAGAGCUGUGAGAAAUGGCGUUUGGGUGAAUUUAAGCCACCCAGUGUCUGGUAUGUUGUUACAGCAGCUGGAAUACACUGCACACCCCCUUCCUUACAUUCUGGCCUAAUGGCCCUUGAGCGUAAGGGAGAGAGGGGCCACGUGGAAGAAGGACCUAGCAUUUGUUGUCAUUGUCUUUUGAUUUUUAGUGUUUAUUCUUUUUGAGAGAGAGCCAGAGCCAGAGCCAGAGACAGAAUGUGAAUGGGGAAGGGGCAGAGAGAGAAUUUGACUAGGCUCCAGGCCCUGAGCUGUCAGCACGGAGUCCAACGCGGGGCUUGAACUCUCGAGCUGUGAGAUCACGAACUGAGCCGAAGUCGGACAUGUAACCUACCGAGGCCCCCGGGCGCCCCUGUUCUCGUGGUCUUACAGACAAAGACGUGGGGAUCUGGAGUGACCAGGAGGAGGUCACCCCGUUAGUCAGGAGUUGGAAGUCAGGGCUCCUGGAUCUCAAAGCCUCAUCUUCCCCGCAAUCCUGCCCUUUCUACCAAGCAGCCAUGCACUUGGUGUGCCUUUAAAAGGGAACCACGAGUUCAGGACUCUGUUCGGGUCCUUCCUCUAGAACACACGCAGGGACAGGGCCUGCAGCCUCUCCUCAUGCAGGUUUCUGACGAGCGCACAGGCAGACAGGCCCCUGGCUCCGCGGUGCCACUGCGAAGUCCCCUGCUUGCCAUCAACUGGUCGCCAUGAGUCCUUCUCAAGUAAGCCACCUCUGCUGCCUCCUGUGUGCUUUUCUGCUCCGCUGUGCAGGGGGACGUUAGCUGGCCGGCCUCUCUUUCUUCCUUAUCUCACAUGUGGUGCAUAGAGAGGACUCUGCAGGAUGUGAGGUGCGCCACGGCCUAGCCUGUGCUCCGGAGCACGUCAUAUGCGGGCAGACGCCCGUUUCACGUUCCACUCACAUGUAGGUCAGCCAGGGGAGCGGAUGUAGAUCAGCAAGGGGAGCGGGGGCAGGGGGCAGGGUCGUCUAGGUUUUUCUGUGCCCGGGACGAUGCCGGCUCAGCCCUCCAAAGGGCCGCGUGUCCUUUUCGGAGCUGCCCCCUGGCGACCCACAGGUCCAAGCCCUCACUCACAGUGGCAGCUAACCACGGCGGCUACACCACGCUUUUGCCUCACCUGCCGGGGCACCGCAGAGCAGGUGCGGCUGGUGGGCCUGCCGUGGUCUCCUGCACCACACGCCUGCUUCCCCCCGUAUCUAUAGAUGCUCGGAAGAACACUUCCGCCAGCAGAGUUCAUUCUUCUGAGACUUUUACCUUAAAACACGAGUGCCCAGGGGAACAGGAAAACCAUAAAUUGUUGUCAGCUAAGAACUGGCGGCUGGUGUAGUGUCUAACAAGUAUCUUGUUACAAGUGAAUGUUGAAAUACCCACAUUUGGCAAUAAGGUGCUUCUGCCUUUUAUGUAUUUGACAGAUGCGUAACUCGUCCUUUUGGUAUCUCGUUCACUUACUCGGGCACCGGCAACGCUGUUUGGUUGGGAGAGCCACAGGAAGCGUUACAGUUCUAGGGACGUCGGGUGGCCGGGAUGGGGCCUCCCUGCAAACACCAUUCAACAGAAUCAGGCUGAGAGCCAGUGGCCUGGAGGCUCCGAACUAGAAUGGGGGCGGUACCGAGCUCUUCCUCAGAGCGUUGCGAGGAUCAGAUGCAGAGGAUGCUCGUACGGCACACACUCACAGCAUCGCCGUUCACCUCAUCGUCCUCAGUGCCAUUCACAUCGUCAUCACGGUCACCAUUGCUGGCCUCGCCAUCAUCAUGACAAGCACGAGGUUUUGAUUUGCCCCGAGCCUGGGUGUCCACCUUGGGAAAAAUCUGUGAGUGGCAGAUACUCAUAGAACUCUGGAGUUGGACCGAAACCUCAAUGAAAUAUCACCGCAUACCUGUCAGAUCAGCUGUUAGCAAAAAUGACCAAGAAAUGUCAAGAAAUAAUAAGUUUUGGUGAGGAUGAAGAGAAAAAAGGAACCCUCACGCAUUGCUGAUGGGAAUAUAAACUGGUGUGACUACAAUGGAAAACACAGUGGAGGUUCCUCAAAAAAAUGAAAAGUAGAACCACCUUAUGAUCCAGCAGUUGCAUUUCUGGGCAUUUAUCUGAAGAAAGAGAAGACACCAAUUUAAAGAGAUCUACACACCCCUGUGUACAUUGGCACAUUAGUUACAGUAGCCAAGAUACGGGUGCUACGUCAGUGUCGAUCAAUACCUGAACAGAUAAAGAUGUGGUUGGUGUUCAUGCACAAUGGAAUAUUACGCAGCCAUUAAAAAAGAAUACAGUCUUGCUAUUUGCAGCAACACGGAUGGACCUCGUGGCUGUGAUGCUAAGAAAAAUAUGUCACAGACAAAGAUAAAUUCUGUGUGAUUUCACUUCGAUCUGGAAUAUAUAAGACAAAAAACAAAUAGAACAGACAAAAUAAGGGGGUCUCAUAGAUACAUAGAACAGACCAUUGGUUACCAGAAGGAAGCGGGUUUCGGGGGGUGGGUGAAAUAGGGGAAGAGGAUUUUCCAGUUACAAAAUGAAUAUGUCAUGAGGAUGUAUUGUAAAACCCAGAGAAUAUAGUCAACAAUGUCGUAAUAACUUUGGUGACAGAUAACUAGGCUUAUCGUGGGGAUCGCUUAGUAAUGUAUAAAAAUACCAAAUCACUGUGAUGUACCCUUGAAACUAAAAGGCUAUUGUGUGUCAGUUACACUUCAGUUACAAAAAAAAAAAUCUCAGAAGUAGGCCUUCCUGUGCUGACAUCAGUGGUGGCCACUUUCUGGGGGUGGGGGGGUGGAACACUUUGGAAACCAGGUCACAGAGGAAAGUGCCUCUUGCUGUUCUGGGCUCAGAGGUCUGCUGUGGAAGUGAAGUGCAGAGGGAGCCCGGCCUCAUUGCAUCGAUAAUACGAUCCCGUAACUCAUUCUGCUGCCAUGAAGGUGGACGGACGGUCCCCAUCCCUGCCAUUGAACACUGCCCCUGUUUUCCUCAGAGGGGUAUCUGCUCGCCAGUGGUGAUUAGAGUGCCCCGAACAGGCCCUUGCUAUUAAGAGUUUGUGGCUCCAGUUUAAUAAAAGGUAGUAUAUUAAAAUGGAAACAUGUUAUUCUUGAUAAGGACUAGACAUAUUAUAGGCCAGAUGAAAGCUUUGAUAAUGCAAAAUGCAGGGAAAGGAAGCGAAGGGGUAUGGAAUACCUACUACGCACAGAUUGCUUUGCUGGACGCUUUGGAGGGGCAUCACCGCAAAAUGCCCGUGCCACCCAAUGAACCAAGCCCAGCCUCUCUGGUAUAUUAAUAUAUUUAAUUAUCAGACUUUCAGCAUUAAAGGAGAUUACAAUAGAGGCAUCCAGUUGAUUGGGGAAUAGUUGCUGCAAAUGAUAAGCUCUUUUGAAUAAGCCGAUACUGGCUUAAUGAGGUUUUGCAGUGUGUUAUUUUUUUCCUGAUAGAAAAUCGAGUGACUGCUCUCCUCCCCCACCACGCUCAGUCCUUUCGCUUCCUAGUAAUGACCCCCUUUUCUCUUGCUUCAUGGGAACUUUUAAAAAUUUAAAUUAAUGGAUUUUUUUAGCCUCCAGUUUCUGGAAUUCUAAGAGGGUCUGAAAGGUAAGUGCUCAAUUACCGAGGCAUGCGAACAAAAAUAGGCAGCUUAGCUAGGGAAGUGAAAAUAGAGAGGAGUCCCCCCACCUUCCCUGGAGUUGUGUGUUUUGUUUCUGGAAGAGGUUCAAGAAGUAUUCAACCUCCAGUUAAUUUGGCUGGCCCUUUCGGAUAACUUCUUCCUGGGGCGGCAUGAGCUUCAUCGCUUAAAGAAUUCAUAAGACCAGUCUGAGGGCCUCUGUACUGGGGAGAAUUCCUUAUGUUAGCGAAGAGGCUGGUGUGGUUUGAACUUGCCUGCCCAAUUCCUGACAGGCGCCUGUGCCCGCUUGAGGCAAACCGAUGGUCCAGCCUCCCCGGUGCCUGGUCAUCUAGAGCACAUCGAGGAACCUGCAAAAAUAAAAAAUAAAUAGCACGCCUCAAACACCCAGCACACCUCUUCCAUUUUCAACAUGUGCUCCCUAAUCCUGUGAUAAGUAUUCCUGCCCCCGUGUUACCGAUGAGGCUUGUAACAGUUCAAGCAGAUGGGCCAUAGUCACGUCACUCCUCAGUCGCCCACUUGGCAUUUGAAAUCAGAUUUUUCUGGAACUUUCUACCAUGUUGCACUCCCUUAGUCCCUGAGGCCAUCCUCAGAACAAAGAAAUGAGGAAAGGGGGCUACAGACGCUGUUCUUCUGGGGGUCCCUUGGUAAAUGGCACAGAACUAAAUACAUAGUGGGUGCCCUGUCUCUUCUGUCUGAAAGAAACGUAAGGACCUUAGAAGUGGAGCUCUUGGUAGUAGUAGGGCAUAUGUGGCCUGGGUAAUGUUCUCCUGGCCCAGGGCCUGCUGCAGUGUUCGCCCCCAUCUCCCAUCCCGCGGGAGCUCAUCGGGGACCUCUGUAGGUGGUAUCAGCGCCCAUGAAGUGCAGGGUACAUGGAAGA
Molecule: long non-coding RNA, 5383 nt
Organism: Panthera uncia (snow leopard)
Lineage: Eukaryota; Metazoa; Chordata; Mammalia; Carnivora; Felidae
Exons: 2
Source: RefSeq, a predicted model, not a curated record